Molecule: long non-coding RNA, 593 nt
Organism: Hyaena hyaena (striped hyena)
Lineage: Eukaryota; Metazoa; Chordata; Mammalia; Carnivora; Hyaenidae
Exons: 3
Source: RefSeq, a predicted model, not a curated record
UCUAAGACGCAGAAGAUGGGCCACCCGUGACAACAACCUCUACAAAGAAAAGAGUCCGCAUCUCUUUCCAGCCUCAGGGUGUACCCUGUUCCCGAAACAGAGGAAGAUACCGUGGAAAUUCACUCAAUAAGCUGAUUAAGAAUAACUUUUCCAUUCAUUGUUCUAUACUACCAGAACAGCAUAAAACGUUGAGGCCCUUUUUUCGAUACCGCCUCGGAGUUCACGGAAGUUGUUCGUUUUAUGCUGGAGACGGAGACACGACAUCGACCACAAAGAAUUGAGUAAAGCACCCUCCUGGAACGUGAAAGCGGUAUGUAUUCUGGAGUCGCUCUGUUAGUAAGGAGAAAUCUGGAAGAUGAGAAAGGCGGGACUUUCUUGCAGGCUUACUGUGCAGAGCCACCCUGAUUCCAGCUGCUGCGGGUCUGAGAAUAAGGACAUUGCAUUCCAAAGGGGUUCUCCAGGAAAAGACCUAUGAUCACAUGGUAGCGCCCCAGAAGCAGCAGUACUGCCAUCAGGUGGUGUAGGUGUGUGUUCAGGGAGGUAUGUGUGUCUACAUGUGAAUCCAUGUGAUGUAGCUCUCAGUGCUCAUGUGU